CUCUAACACAAUGCAGCAAAGCAGCACAAACCAAGCCCGAGACUACAAGCUCAUUAUUUCACUCUCAGCGUGAGAGCCGACUUCUCGUCAUCAUGACCCCUGUAACAGCUCCGGACAAUCCCCAGGUCUCCCGACGGACAGCAUAUCCGAAAGGCGAGCCCAAAGCACUGGGGACUGUUCAGAUCAUGAUUGGGAUCACGACUCUCUUGUUCUGUUUAUAUUUAUACUUUUCCCUGGGUGACGUUCUGACCAGCAGUAUCUGUAUUUUCUUAUCACUUAUUGUACGUCCUUUUCGGGCUGCACUGUAAGUGCCUUGCAUUAGUAUUUACCCCGUUUGAACUUUUCAACGACAGAAAUAACUUCAUGUAUUAUAUGUGAUGAUACUGCAGGAAGUUGCCUGUUAUCGUGAAGCACGGUGGUCUUACCACUGACCUCACGGCUGCUACAUGCUGUUGUGCCGUAUUACUCUACACAUUCACAGGCAAAAAUCUUACCAACACACAGAUGUUAUUACAAUAAAGACACAUGGCACAUUGGUUGCUGAAAAUAAACAUGACUUCUAAUGAUAGCAAUCCAGAGGCCGGUAUGAUGCUAGCACCACCAUCAUGCUUCAGUAGCUAAAGUUCCACAAUAGAAAUUUUCAAAGGGGUGUCAAUAGUUAUGUAACUAACUAUACAUCCCUGUUUUUUAUUCUUAACAUCUGAUAAACAUCAUGAGUCGCUUUAUUUUAACAGUUCAUGGUGUCUGGAGCUCUGUCGGUUGCUGCAGAGAACCACCCGAACUCCUCCGCUGUGUGGAAAGCCAUGGUGAUAAUGAAUGUGUUGAGUUCUGUGGCUGCAACCAUCAUCAUCAUCAUCAUCAUCACCUUCUUCUCAAUUUUCAGGGAGAUUCAGAAUGACCAUCCG
Molecule: long non-coding RNA, 905 nt
Organism: Tachysurus fulvidraco (yellow catfish)
Lineage: Eukaryota; Metazoa; Chordata; Actinopteri; Siluriformes; Bagridae
Exons: 4
Source: RefSeq, a predicted model, not a curated record